CACUGCCCUUGCGGAUGUAAAAAGGAAGGUGGUUCAGGGCCAUUAUCAGAGGCUUCCUGGCAGGCCAAGGUCCUGACAUCAGCAUUAGCUGCUGAAACUCUGAAGGGAAUGGUGUGAGCCUGCUGUGCACUGCCCUGUCCAAGGGCUGGGUCUGUUAACUCCAGAACUGGCUUCCCCCAGGUCUGCACUCCCUCCACUGCAGGCCUGAGCUCUCCUUGCCCCUGGCUCUCUUCUGCAGAGAACCUACUCUCAGCUGCCACAGGAGGGCGCUGGAGAACGGGCCUGAGCAGAGAAGCAGGAGCUCCUCUGCAGGUCCUCCCAGGCACCACCCCUCCUGGGAGGAAGGCUUGGGAGUCCCCUAAGACAGAUCAUCAGUAGUUUCUUUCUGCCUGUGACUCAGGAAGACCAGCUCCCCCCACUGCCUUCUGUGCUAGGGAUCACUUCCUUGUUGAGUGGGACCUGAGUUUUCAGAGGGUGUUGUGCUCCUCUUCAUCUGGUCCCUUUCCUUCCAAGGCCCCAGAGAGGAAGGCAUGGGGUGGGCCCUAGCCCUGCUUCUAGCUUUCCUGCCUCCUGUCAGUCAGGUAUCUUCCAACUUAGAAGGGAGAACGAAGCUAGUCACCGGGCGGACUGGGUCAUCUGCUGUAAUCACUUGUGAUCUUCCUGUAGAAAAUGCCAGAUACAUCCACUGGUACUUCCACCAGGAAGGCAAGGCCCCACAGCGUCUUCUGUACUAUGACACCCAGCAGUCCAAGAUUGUGUUGGAUUCAGGAAUCAGUCCAGGAAAGAAGGAUAAUUAUCUAAUCCAGAAGGGGAGCUGGAAAUUGGUACUGCCAAAUCUAAUGGAAAAUGAUUCUGGGGUCUAUUACUGUGCCGCCUGGGACUGGCACAGUGGUUCAGACCUGCCCUACACCACACUGAAAACCUGCCUUGUGGCUGCUUCUGCUACACAAGACAGAGCUGCCCCCUCUCAUUUCCUGCCACCGAAUUUACUGUAUUCUGUACAAGGAGAAACACAGCUUCACUCCCGAUCUCCGCCUAAUAUCACACUCCCCUGGCAGCAGCUGCACCUGUUCCCCACCCCUCCCCCAGGGCUCUCCUGAAGACCAAGCUGCCACCUCC
This is a non-coding RNA of Sapajus apella (tufted capuchin), 1119 nucleotides long. Lineage: Eukaryota; Metazoa; Chordata; Mammalia; Primates; Cebidae. The record is from the annotation of a RefSeq genome assembly.